This 300-nucleotide transfer RNA is filed under the name uncultured Candidatus Endomicrobium sp. Its description in RNAcentral is "partial contains 16S ribosomal RNA and 16S-23S ribosomal RNA intergenic spacer". Lineage: Bacteria; Pseudomonadati; Elusimicrobiota; Endomicrobiia; Endomicrobiales; Endomicrobiaceae. The record is from RNAcentral.
AAGGUAGCCGUACGAGAACGUGCGGCUGGAUCACCUCCUUUUUAAGGAGCAAACAUGCGUUUUAAGUUCACUUAAAACGAGGUGUUAAUGGUCGGUUCUUGAAAUUGUAAUGGUUGGAUCGAGUUCAGCGGGGCGUUUGUUUGUGUGUUAGAGAUUAUAUCUUACUAAGGGCGUGAGUUGUAUAAGCGGGCCUAUAGCUCAGCUAGUCAGAGCGCACCCUUGAUAAGGGUGAGGUCUGUGGUGCAACUCCACAUAGGCCCACACCAACUGAUAUGUGUAGUGUUGUGUGCCGCAAAGCCG